Limanda limanda (common dab) is the source of this 418-nucleotide long non-coding RNA. RefSeq lists it as uncharacterized. NCBI's taxonomy places the organism in Eukaryota, Metazoa, Chordata, Actinopteri, Pleuronectiformes, Pleuronectidae. The record is from RefSeq and is a predicted model, not a curated record. The transcript is spliced from 3 exons.
UACACAAACAAAGAGGCGUUAGGCUGAGACGCUGAAAGUCCGGAUUUAAAGUGCAGAAAAUUAAGCCAUUGAAUCUGCCUGUCCAUGACGUACAAAGACACACUAUGAGCCAGUAUGAUCCGACCAGACCUUACAUCAGCAUUGAGGAGUUGUCGGAGAAGAAAGAGGCUGAUUGAAGCGGGACAGAUGACAUGGAUCCAUCCUUCCACAGCCAGGAGCGCACCGACCUGUGUCCCACACUUCAUAUAAGACUGGAAGCUACACUGAUCUCACAGCUACACACCACAGACGUCUACACACUGGAGAAGAGUCCCACAAAGAAGUCAUGACCCAGAGGCUGCAGAGAAACAUUUCAAGCCUCAUCUGAGUUUUUGUACAAUAUUUUUGCUGUAUGUAAAUAAAGCUUUCACUCCACAUA